Molecule: ribosomal RNA, 773 nt
Filed under: uncultured Neocallimastigales
Lineage: Eukaryota; Fungi; Neocallimastigomycota; Neocallimastigomycetes; Neocallimastigales
Description: partial large subunit ribosomal RNA
Rfam family: Eukaryotic large subunit ribosomal RNA
Source: RNAcentral
UAUGUGAUCGUCUCUCGCAUAUCAAUAAGCGGAGGAAAAGAAACUAACAAGGAUUCCCCUAGUAACGGCGAGUGAAGCGGGAAGAGCUCAAAUUUGAAAUCUUAAAGGGUUUCCCUUUACGAAUUGUAGUUUAAAGAAGUGUUUUCUGUUGAGGUUUUGGUAAAAGUUCUUUGGAAUAGGACAUCAUAGAGGGUGAGAAUCCCGUAUUUGACCUUUACUUUCAACUUUGUGAUACACUUUCAAAGAGUCGGAUUGUUUGGGAAUGCAGUCCAAAAUGGGUGGUAAAUUUCAUCUAAAGCUAAAUAUUGGCGAGAGACCGAUAGCGAACAAGUACCGUGAGGGAAAGAUGAAAAGAACUUUGAAAAGAGAGUUAAACAGUACGUGAAAUUGUCAAAAGGGAAGCGUUUGACACCAGUGUUGUUUUUCUGAAAAUCAAUUAAAGAACUGUUUAUGCUAAGCUGUUUAGACUUUAUCAGCUAACUGUUUAGUUUUGAGCUUUUCUUUAAUGCACUUUUCAGUUAACAAGUCAACAUCAAUUUCUUUUGCUGUAAAAAAGCUUGAGGAAGGUGGCUUGAGAUUCGUCUUAAGUGUUUAUAGCCUCUUGCCUAUGCAGUCGGAGAGAUUGAGGUCUGCAGCGUAGAUCCUUCGGGGCUAAAUGCAUUUGUGCUAAGUUAUAGCAUUUUAUAGACAACUUGUUGACUAUGAUUUGUCUUGUAGCUUACUCGCUUAUGUUAUUUUACCUACGCUUAGGAUGUUGAUCUCUCACAGUCGAG